Zingiber officinale is the source of this 2376-nucleotide long non-coding RNA. RefSeq lists it as uncharacterized. NCBI's taxonomy places the organism in Eukaryota, Viridiplantae, Streptophyta, Magnoliopsida, Zingiberales, Zingiberaceae. The record is from RefSeq and is a predicted model, not a curated record. The transcript has 2 exons.
UUAAUCCGUGAAACCCUUCCUAUGCCGCCGCCCAUCCCUUCGCGCCUUUUCCUCUGCCCAAAACCCUAUUCACGCCACUUCCCUGCGCGACUUCGACUUCGACUUCGUCUUCCUCUCUGCCCUUCGCCUCCUUCGUCCCUAACGCUAAGGCGACCUUCACACUACCCUCGAAGAUGAGAACGAGGAGGAGGUGCCAAAGAAUGGGGGGGAUUUCGAUUUUGACGGAGCCGUGGCGGAGAAGGCAGCCGGCGCGAUCGGGGUCAAAUUAGGGUUCCAUGGGAAGGGACAGGGAGAGGGAUUGGGUGAUCGAACUCAUUGUUCUCUGGCUCCUUCCUCAACGCCAACGCCCAGUCGGACGCGGUCGCGAAGGUGGGUCGGAUCUACUCCCGCGGCCUCCUGCAUCAGCUCAUCUCCUUCACCCUUUAUUACCCAAUGCAAUGAUUCCUAUAGGCUCAAAACAUCAUCAACCCCAUGGUCGUCAUCGUCGUCGCCGUCCUCCUCUUCCAUAUCCUCAUCUCCUAGCUUGUCGUCUUUGUCCUUGACUUCGGCCUCCUCGGCGCCUCCAUCACUCUCAGCAUCCCUUGGUGGGUGCUCGUCCUCUCCACUUGGCUCUACAUCAUCCUCAUCCCUUCCAGCAGGACCACCUGGACUGACCUCUCUAUUAAGGUCUUCACCGGCAUCUGGCUCUUUUUCAAACUCACUGUUUCAUCAACCAUCAUGCUCGUGUAAGUCAACCGUCCAACUUUCUCCCCCUCUCUUCCUCUUCCCCCUCGCUCAAACUCACAUUCAUCAUAGCUUGGAGAUUUGGCGCAUCCAAGGUUUUGUGCUGAUCACAGGCUACCUCCUAUAUCCAGAAAUCUCACUCAAUGUCAUAUCUAUCUGGUAAUCAAUGACCACACAGCUUAUCAAUUCCUAUCUAAAUUUCUUACUGACAGUGUGAUCGAUUCCAGUGCAAAUUAGUGGAAUUGGGACUUCAUGAUCAUGCUCGGCUUGAGCAAUGCCGCAAGGUUUGACGACUACUGCACUUGCAUCAAUCUCCAUGAAUCAUUCACUAAUAACCAGAGGUUGUUUGUUGAAGUGUGAGGAUAGGGAAUGAGUUGGGGGCUGCUCAUCCUCGAGUUGCUAAGUUUGCAGUCCUUGUUAUGGUGAUGACCAACUUGAUCCUUAGCUUGAUCAUCAGUGUGUUGGUCCUCAUACUGCACACGCUCUUGCGCAAGCUCUACACCAGCAAUCAUUAAUCUAACUCCUCUACUUUCCAUCUCCAUUUUCUUGAAUGGAGGUUUGUCAAUUCUGUCUAGUACAACAUUGAUCUAAAAUUCUAUAAUUAUUUUUUUUUAAUGGACGACUAGCUUCAAGUGUUCACGAGGAUGGAUGAUGUAGGAGUUGCUAUUGGAAGUGGGUGGCAAGGCAUAGUGGCUUAUGUAAAUGUGGGUGCUUAUUACCUGAUUGGACUUCCCAUCGGCAUUGUUUUUAGAUUCAAGUAGUUUAGAUACUACUGUAAGUGAAAACUAAGAUUUAAAUUACUCUUUUGAUCUGUUUUGAUUUAGGAAAAAUAUUAAACAAUUGUUUUUGAUGCUGCUGUGGCUCAAGGAAUAUGGUGGGGAUUGAUCAUUGGAGUCUUUGUUCAAACGAUCUCUCUCAUCGUCUUAAUUGUCAGGACAAUGAAACAGAGAAGUUCUCAAACUGCUGCUCACCCAUGAAACACUUUAUUUUCAUAAAAAAAUAUCAAAAUUUUCAUUGUCUGAAAAUGGUGAUAGAAUUUUUUUCCCUCUUUUAGCCUAAUGAAAUAGGACAUAUGAGAAUGACCUCUGUUUGCAAGUGGACAAAGCGAUCAAACGCUUGAAGCAUACUGUUGAUGAAGAUACUUAGCGAUAGUCGGCGACAUCAAGUGACUAGUCAGCAAAAUUCUUUACACACCUACAAGGUAGAAAAUCUACAAAAGCUUGGUGAAGAUGAAGAAUAUGCUCAAAUUAUGGCAAGACUAGAAGAACUAGAAAAGAUAGAGGAGCUUGAAAAUAGAAAUACUUCAAAAGAUAACACUCAAAAGAAUGAGCACAGUUCGUGAUGGAGAUGGGGGUAGCAAAGCUAGAGAUAAAGAUAAAGAUGAGGACAUUGAGGUUGGUCAUAGUCUCUCGACAUCAGAUCAUAAAUAUGAAGUUGAGAGAUGAAGGCUAAGAUAGAAGUCUUGAAACCGCACAAACACUUGUGGCAAGUGGAAUACUUGGAUGCAUAUUAGAUUAAAGCAGUAUUGGAACAUUGUUGACAGCGAAAUCUUUGAUUGUUAGAAAUUCAUGAUUUUUGUACUUGACUUAGAGAAAUUUGUGAGCUUUGUAAAAUUAUUAUUAGAUGAAUAAAAGUUAUGUAUUCACAUUUUUA